GCCCUUUUGUUUUCCACGUAAUUAAUAUUGCCAAUAAUUAAGAAGUUCCGGGUCGAGUCCGCUACGAUACCAAUAGUAUAUUCACCUGUUACUAUUACCUUAUCUGUACGUUCCGCAUCUGACAGGCGCACCACCAAACGUUGUAUUCAGGACUAAUAUGCUAUAUACACGGGUCAUAACCACAGGGUUAAUACUACUAAAUUGUCAAAUUG
Molecule: long non-coding RNA, 212 nt
Filed under: Mytilus galloprovincialis (Mediterranean mussel)
Lineage: Eukaryota; Metazoa; Mollusca; Bivalvia; Mytilida; Mytilidae
Source: RNAcentral